Oncorhynchus tshawytscha (Chinook salmon) is the source of this 1589-nucleotide long non-coding RNA. NCBI's taxonomy places the organism in Eukaryota, Metazoa, Chordata, Actinopteri, Salmoniformes, Salmonidae. The record is from Ensembl.
AACAAUGGUUUACGAUUGAUUGAACAAUAGUUUACUGUUUAUUGAUUGAACAAUGGUUUACUGUUGAUUGAUUGAACAAUGGUUUACUGUUGAUUGAUUGAACAAUGGUUUACUGUUGAUUGAACAAUGGUUUACUGUUGAUUGAACAAUGGUUUACUGUUGAUUGAACAAUGGUUUACUGUUGAUUGAACAAUGGUUUACUGUUGAUUGAACAAUGGUUUACUGUUGAUUGAACAAUGGUUUACUGUUGAUUGAACAAUGGUUUACUGUUGAUUGAACAAUGGUUUACUGUUGAUGGAACAAUGGUUUACUGUUGAUUGAACAAUGGUUUACUGUUGAUGGAACAAUGGUUUACUGUUGAUUGAUUGAACAAUGGUUUACGAUUGAUUGAACAAUAGUUUACUGUUUAUUGAUUGAACAAUGGUUUACUGUUGAUUGAUUGAACAAUGGUUUACUGUUGAUUGAUUGAACAAUGGUUUACUGUUGAUUGAUUGAACAAUGGUUUACUGUUGAUGGGACUGCAACACCACAGUGCAGCAGCUUUGGGAGAAUAUGCACGUCCCACAUGUUACCCUUUUGCCUAUAUAGUGCACUACUUUAGACCAGACCCUAACACCCUAUUCCCUAUAUAGUGCACUACUUUAGACCAGAGCCCUAACACCCUAUUCCCUAUACAGUGCACUACUUUAGACCAGGGCCCUAUAGAACCCUAUUCCCUAUACAGUGCACUACUUUAGACCAGGCCCCUAUAGAACCCUAUUCCCUAUACAGUGCACUACUUUUGUGCCAUUUGGGAUACAGGCCAUAUCAUGUGCUGGCUGUCGGGUGAGUUGGUUUGUGUUGGAGGCUGUUGAGGCUAAAGGUUGUGGAGGCUGUUGAGGCUGGGGGCCAGCCUGGACCUGAUUGUGUGUGUUGUAUAUCCUGUAGUCUGUUCAUUGUCUUACGUCAGAGAGCACACCGAUUCCACCUGCAACCAUCGGAUGAGGGACGAGCCUCGCGUAGAAGUGACGCCACCUGACGUAAGACAAUGGUACAACUCUGACGCAGCUGACCAUAGGUCAGGGCCCGGUUAGUUACGGUGAGGCAGAGCAGACCAUAGGUCAGAGCCCGGUUAGUUACAGUAACUCAGAGCAGACCAUAGGUCAGGACCCGGUUAGUUACUGUAACUCAGAGCAGACCAUAGGUCAGGACCCGGUUAGUUACAGUAACUCAGAGCAGACCAUAGGUCAGGACCCGGUUAGUUAUGGUAAGGCAGAGCAGACCAUAGGUCAGGAUCCGGUUAGUUACGGUAACUCAGAGCAGACCAUAGGUCAGGAACCGGUUAGUUACGGUAACUCAGAGCAGACCAUAGGUCAGAGCCCGGUUAGUUACAGUAACUCAGAGCAGACCAUAGGUCAGAGCCCGGUUAGUUACGGUAACUCAGAGCAGACCAUAGGUCAGUACCCGGUUAGUUACGGUAACUCAGAGCAGACCAUAGGUCAGGACCCGGUUACUUACGGUAACUCAGAGAUGGCUCUCCAUUCACACUGUAUAGAGAUCUAGCAUGUCUGUCCUAAACAAUCAAUAAAGAUGUCUUACUAUCAAAACCA